This 252-nucleotide ribosomal RNA is filed under the name Scaptomyza albovittata. Its description in RNAcentral is "partial 16S ribosomal RNA". The record is from RNAcentral. Lineage: Eukaryota; Metazoa; Arthropoda; Insecta; Diptera; Drosophilidae.
UUUUUAUAGAAUUUUAUUUUUUAGUCAAAAAGCUAAAAUAAAUUUAAAAGACGAGAAGACCCUAUAAAUCUUUAUAUUUUAUUUAUUUUAAUUAAAAAGAUUAAUUUAUUAUUAAUAAAUUAAAAUAUUUUAUUGGGGUGAUAUUAAAAUUUAAAAACUUUUAAUUUUUUAAACCAUUAAUUUAUGAAGAAAUCAUCCAUUAAUAAUGAUUAAAAAUUUAAGUUACUUUAGGGAUAACAGCGUAAUUUUUUU